CGGGGGGGAGGGGCGGCGAGGUGCGGCCUGUGGGGCGGGUGCGCGCGCGAGCGGGCACGUGGGGCUCUUUCGUCCCCGGCGUCCGGGCGCCCUGCGCCAGCCCCCACUCCUGCCCCGGCCCCACGGGUGGCUGGUGAGCAGAAAGAUCCAAACCCGUGCCCCUACCGCGGGCCGGCGCAGUCGCGCCUUUGUGUUUGUGAAGUGCUCGUAACAGCCAUGAAAAGAAUGGCGUCCAUUUACAUAAUGCUUUGUUUGCAUCUUGCUGGUUUCUUUCUGUUGAAACCCGCAGAAACCCAACCUAGCAAUUCGGUCCUUUCUACCGUGGCAGUCUCUUGUCUGCUACUUGAAACAAUAGUGUGCGUCUCUGGAGGCCUUAUUUAAAUUCGAGCGGUGCCGACCAGAGUUGGAGGUUUCUGCGGCAUUUCCCGCGCGGCCUCUCCGGUUCUCGCUUUUCGGCCCUCUUCUCUCACAGCGCAGCCGCAGCGCCCCACUCUCGGGCGGCCCCUGGUGACGCCCGCCAUCUUGGGAGGCCUUUUCUGCCUAGUUCAUCUCGCUAGAAAAUGUCGCUGAGAUGCCGGCACAUGAGUUGUGAUUUCUACCCCUUCCCUUUCCUCUUUGAGCUAAGCCAGACUCCAGAAUGUCAAGUGAGCAAAGCAUACUUAGUCCCUCAGUGAAAGUGGGCUAACGUGGCGCUCCCCAUCGCCACCCCCCCCCCGUCGCCAUGUUUCCUGAACACAAAAUGGCGACACGUGGCCUGGAUUCGUCGCUCAGGAGAAAUUGGGGUCGCCCGAAAGCUCUAGAACGCGCCGCCUCUUGUUCACUGGGACUUCCCUGCGACGGGAGUCCUUAAGAUCCCUCCUGUAGGCUGGUCCGAAACGUGGCGGAAGAAGUUUAAUCCUCCCUCCUUUAAUUUGAAAGGAGAAUGUGAAUAAUAGUAAAAUGUAGGCACGGUGUCGAUCAUCUCGGCCUUUUUUUUUUUUUUAGAUUUUCAUAGUGUAUGGGCAGUACCAUGGGGAAAUUUCAGGUGUCCCCCCGCCCCUGUACCAAAAUACUUAGAAACCACUGCUUUAAGGAAUGAGAUGGGGAAAAUACUGCUUUCCCAGAUCUCCUAGUACACGGUGUUGUGCUGGGAAGACCAAAAUAUGAUUUUUAAAAUAAUACAAAUAUGUAGACAUACUCUGUAGGCAUUUUCACAGGCAGUUAGUUGGUCAGUGACCCACAGCUUAUUAUAAUUUGUAUUGUCUUUUAUGGUCUAGAAGGGACAGAUCUUAUGGUAGGCAUUUUAUUGCAUACUAUCUUAAUUUUUACCACACUCUACGAGGUAGUUAUCCCCUUCUCUUUCUCUCUUUUUUUUUAAGCAGAGGAAGACACUUAAGCCCAGAGAAAUGAAGUGAGCCAUUCAAAGUCAUACGUUGUCGGGGAUGGAAUCCAGACCUUCUGAUUUCUUUACUGGUGAGCACAUUUUCCAGUUUUUCUAUAAAUCAAGGUUUUUGAAUUAAAUUCAUUCAUUCUUUCUUUUUUUUUUUUUUUUUUUUGUAGCAAAAAAGCUACCAAAGGUGCUUAACCAUUGAGCCACAUUCCUAGCCGUCACCCUUUUUAUUUUUUUAAUUUUAAAACAGUGUUGCUUACAGCUUCGCUAAAUUUCUGAGGCUGGUUUUGAACCUGUGAUCCUCCUGCCUCAGCCUCCCGAUCUGCUUAGAAUUUAAAUUGUUUUUAACGUGUAAAUGUGCUGACUUUGAAGGUUACCUUUAGGUAAUCCUUUGUUGUGUAGUCAGCCCAUUUGUAUCUCCUUGGGGAUUUCCAUUUUCUCCUGAUGUGAGUGACACACACAUUUGAGCCCUGUCUGGGCUUAAAUGCUGUUCUGUGAGGUAACUGGAUAGGGAGAGAGAGAUGGAAGUGAUUCAGACCUUUCCAAGGCCCACGUGUCUUAGUCUGGCCUCCUCAGUGGCACAUUUGAGUUACCUGGCUCUAGGGGAGUGAACAAUUCUUUGAGAGACUCACUUGCUUCCUUCAGCUACUUGUGCUUGACUCCUUCUUCACUACCCCUUAUCCCCAGCUCUGUAAAAAUGAGUUAUUUUACUCUGGCACCAAGCCUCCAUUAUUCUGCAAAUAUUGACAAAUCCUGACAUAGUGUUAGAUAAAUCAUAGUCUGUGGACACCUCAGUGUAACACAUGGUUAGGGGGUCCAGGUAACAAAAACAUGCCUAAACAAGGACUACAUGGCUGUUAUAGAUGGAGAGGGAUUUUUGCUUUUAACUUACAUUAACGUGUGUAUCAAAUUUUCCAAAAGUCUUCAUAUUGUUUUAUAUAACUCUGCAAAUAACUUUGAUAGGUACAUACCUAGGAUAUAACUAAGUACUUAGUGCUAUUAUUAUUACAGUAAUAAUAAUAGCACUAAGUACUUAGUUAUAUGCUAGGCCCUGUUCUAAGCCUAUCCUAUGCUUUAACUCAGUGGCUCUUAACAUUAUUAAAAGUAAAAUAUUAGAAGAAAUCGAUCUUACAUUGUAAUUCAGAUGUACACACAUAUAUCACAUAUCGGUUCUUUUUUUUUUUUUUUUUUAAUUGGGAAUUAAAUGAGGAUGCUUUACCAUUGAGCAACAUCAUCUUUUAUUUAUUUAUUUAUUUUUAAUUUUGAGACAGGGUUUCACUAAAUUACUAAGUUGCUGAGGUUGGCUUUGAACUUGGAAUCCUGCUUCAGCCAUCCUAGUUGCUGGGAUGAUAGGUGUGUGCCACUGUACCCAUUUUAUAUAACAGAUUUUUUUGCAAAACACUACUUAUUACUACAUGCAAUGUAUUCUGGUUCCAGUUUCUGUUCAUUUAUUUAUAUUCAAACAUAAAAGGGGUUGUUAUAACUAAAAUGAUUCAAAACCCAUUAGUAGGUUGUGACUGGAAUACACAUUUAAUCCUCAUAUAAGCUCAUGAAAUGGGUGGUGAUAUUAUUUCCAUUUUACAGAGGUACUGAGAGGUGAAGGAGUUUGUCCAAGUUCAGAUAAAGUAGUAAAGUAUGGAUAUGAAUGUAGGCAAUCUGAGUCCACAGAUGGUAUACUUAACCAUAAGGUAGAUGUGGUCUCUGUGGAGUUCUUUGUAGGGAGACAAAGUAGAUUAAAGAAUUAAAAAUACUAGUAAUGGCUUGGCAUGGUGUACACACCUAUAAUCCUAGCCACUUGGGAGACUGAGGCAGGAGGAUUGCAAAUUUAAGGCCAGCCUCAGCAAUUUAAGCACUAAGCAAUUUAGCAAUAUCCUGACUCAGAAAAUAAAAGGGCUGGGGAUGUGGCUUAAGUGGUUAAGCACCCCUGGAUUCAAUUCCUAAUUAAAAAAAAAAAAAAAGAUACUAGUAAUGGUUCAAAUCCGGGUGCGCUCUCCAAAUACAACAAAAAAAAAAAUAUUAGAAAACAGGAGACGAAAGGACUAAAUUGCAUAUGGUCAUGGAGUAUCCUGAUUGAAUGCAUUAUGGUCCUCCAAAUUUACUUUUUUUAUCUUCCCUAAAGAAAUUUUUACCCAUCAGGUAAAAAAAAAAAAUUUUUUCCCCAAGAUUGCCUGUUUUAAUUCUUUUCUGCCUGAAAUAUUUCCUUGAUUUCUUCUUAUCUGAGUACCUCUAGGACUAAUUGUACUCCUCAGUGAAGUAUUUCCUUUCUCAUCUUCCUUAGCUCUUAACCUCCCCGAGAAUCCUAUAUCCCACCUUCAGUGGCCCACAUUUUACUGUUGAUGAAAUCCUAGAGUGAUGUGUCCUGUAGGCUCUCCAGGUGCCCUGGAGAUGCUGUAAUUUGUCAAAGUGGGCUCUGGAUUUUGGAAUCCAAGGCUCUGUGCCCUAGCCCCAUUCUGUGACUGACUAGCUGUGAGACUUCUACAAUUUAUAUAUCUGGGUCUCAGUUUUUUCCACUGUAAAACAAAAAAUUAAAUGAUCACUAAGCCAUUUUUAAAUUCUAUUCUGGGAGUGAUACUAUUUAAUGACCUUAUUAUCUCUGAGUGGUGGUGGGUAGGGUUGUGUAAAUGUUUUACUCACUUUUGGAAAAUUCUGUACUCCCUUACUCAGAUCUGGAUUAACUUUUGAAUUCCACAUUACCCAUUUUAUGGAUGAAGCUCCUGAGAUAUGGAACAAUGGAUUGAAUAGUCACCGCCCCAACCCUGGAAUCUCACACAGGACUCUUCUCACUCAAAUGACCACAGGUUGGUUAAGGGGUUUAAUAUGACUGGGAAGGUGAGCCAGGUUUAGACUUUGGAAGUUGAACCACAGGAUUUAUCUUCCAUUCAGAGAAACAAUUUUUACUUCCUCUUACAUUAUGUUGGCAUGUUAUAUACAUAAAACUUUAAAAAAUGAUUUUGUAUUACUUGUAUAAGCAUCACAGACAGCUUUGCCAAUAAGUUAUUAUUGUACCAAUUUUACUGAUGAGCCAUCUUUGGAUUAGAAGAGUGAAAGAAUUUGCUGAAGGUUAUACAGCUUAUUGGGACCUGAGUUAGAUUUUUUUUUUUUUUUUUAAUUAGCUGCCAUGACAUUACAAUGAUCUUGGCAAUUCAUACAUUUGAAUCAAUUGGGGUAUAAAUUCUCAUUUUUCUGAUUGUACAGAUUGCAGAAUCACACUGGUCAUAGAGUCACCUAUAUAUAUACAGCAUGAGUUAGAUUUCUUGAUUACUGCUUGUAGAUUGUCCUUUCCUUAACUUCUGAUGUCUGUGGCAUAGACUUUAUUUUAUUUUUUAUUUUGGUAUUGGGGAUUAAACCCAGGGUGCUUAACCACUUAGCCACAUUUCCUUUUUAUUUUUAUUUUGAAACUCGGUCUUGCUAAGUUGUUUAGGGCCUCAUUCAAUUGCUGCAGCUGGCCUCAAACUUGAAAUCCUCCUGCCUCAGUCUCCUGAGUUGUUGGAAUUAUUGGUGUGUGCCACUGUGCCCAGCUGUGUCACAGUUUUGAAACUUGGAUAACUUUAAAUUCAAAAAGCCUCCCAAAUCAGUCUUUGUUUUUCUGUCCUAGAACAUCCAUUCCAAUUACCUUAGGCUCCUUACUCUUGUUUUAAGAUAAUUUCUUCUCUUCUUGAUCUCUAGUGCUUACAUUUAUGAGUUUGUGAAGGAGUGAGAGUGAUUACUCAAUGAGACUCCCAAAUUCCCUGGUGGUAGGGACCAUAUUUCUUUUCUUUAACCUACUUGUCCCAGCAAAGUAUACUAUAGCUAUUUAAAUUUGCUCUAUAAACAUGUAGCAUUGUUUUUUAAAAACAUGGUUUAAUUUUUUUCUCCUCCAUCAGAGCUCUCUUUUAUUUAAAAUAAUAUUAAAUUGAGAGGGCCUUUUCUCUAUUAUAUUAUAGGCUACUAUAGCCUAGAAACUUGUCUUACCCACUUUGCAGAUAGUAACAAUUUGGUGUCAUGUGCUGGUUUCCUUGUUCUGCUGUUAGGAGAUCACUCUUUGGUUGCCUGAGAAACAUAAGAAGUUUAUUGGUGUAGUUUGCAGAAGUAACCCAAAGAUACAGCAACAUCCUUGGCCUAAGUUCUCCCUAUUAGACAAAGCAAUGCCCUUGGAUACUCUAUGGUAUCUCUGCCUGAAAUAGAGUAUGUGGAAGAGAUGGCAGAGGAAAGUUUAAAAAGGGGAAAAAUGAAAACUGAAUGCAAAUACAAAGUAUAGAAAGUGAGGAUGGGUAAAAAGCGAAGAGUGAAAUGCAGUAUUGGUGGGAAAGAGGUGAACAAAACAAUCUAGAGGUUCAUCACCCCUGCUUCCCUCCUGUGUGCCAGCGCACAGCUGGUGGUUUGAGAAGCAUAGACUGCUGUCUUCAAAGAAGAGCAGUGGAAAUGAUGACUCCUCUUGAGUUGAUUUCGGGUAGCACACACUUCCAUUUUUUUUUUUUUUUUAAACCUCUAUGUUCAUUACCAUGUAGAGUAAAUUUCUUUGCUUCUGCUAUCAGCUGGGGAUGGGAUUGGGUGCCAGUAACUUUAAUAUUAGCCUGAGUUCAGUUGAUUUAUCAGGGAAAAUAUGUUAAAAAAUUACUGAAGGUUUUCUUGGUCAAGUUUGUAUACAUUCAUUCAACAAGUCAUUAUUGAUUGUUUAAUAUGUCUUAGACACUAAGAAUAUACAAAUGCAUGAGAUCUUGACCUUGGCCUCAAGAUGUUUAUUAUCUAGAUGGAGAGACAGGUAACACAGACAUGUGUUAAGUAUUAAUAUAUGAGUUAGCAGAGAAUGCAGUGGGAGAAGAGAGGAGGGGCCUUAAUUUAGCUUUGGAAGCAAUGGGAGAAGGCGGUCUAGAUAAAAGUUGACAUCCAGAGUCCCAAAUGUGAGGGGGAGGGUAGGAAAGGGUAUUAUAGGCAGAGGGAACAAAAGUUCAAAAUCAGAGAGAGCAUAGUCCAUUGAGAAGUUGUAGGCAUUUAUGACGGAUGUUUGCAUUAUCCAAUUUUUAGUGAUUAUUGUUCUCCUGCUUCAGUAGUGUGGAUUAUUUUAACUUUACUGUGCUUGCUAUAGCAGAGAAAGUUGCAGACUUUAUUUUGGAGUAUUACUUCUGUUUUAAAAUGAAGACACCAGAAAUUGCACUUUUAUCUAGGAAUGCUAAGGAGAAAAUGUAAAUGAAGCCCAACCUUUGAAUUAGCAAAUGACUGGUGAUCAAUUGUACAGUAAAAGAAAGAAGGUACAGUGGCACAUCUGUAAUCCCAGUGGCUCCUGGAGACUGAGAGGAGGAUUUCGAGUUCAAAGCCAGCCUCAGCAGAUUAGUGAGGCAUUUAGCAAUUCAUUGAGACCCUGUCUCUAAAGAAAAAUAUAGGGCUGGGGUUGUGGCUCAGCGGUAGAGCGCUCACCUGGCACGUAUGAGACCCUGGGUUCGAUCCUCAGCACCAAAUAAAAAAAUAAGUGAAAUAAAGGUGUUGUGUCCAAUUACAACUAAAAAUAAAAAAAGGGCUGGGACAUCAGCUCACCUGGGUUCAAUCCCUGGUACCAAAAAAGAAAAAGAAGAAGAAAGAAAGAAGGUACAGCAGAGUGUGAUAGUGUAAGCCAGUAGUCCUAGCCAAUUGUGUGGUUGAGGCAGGAAGAUUGCUUGAGCCCAGAAGUUCAAAGCCAAUUUGGGCAGCAUAGCAAUACCCCAUCUCAAAAAAGGAAAAAGAAAGAUGCAGUGUACAGUGUAUCUUUGUCAUCCAACUUUAGGGUCUGUUGUGCUCUGUUUUGUUUUUAAGGCUUUAAGGCUGUGUGUGUGUGUGUGUGUGUGUGUGUAAAUUUAUGGUCUUAUUCAGUUGGUUAGGAUAUUUGAGUUAGGGAGGAGGGAAAGGGGGUCUAGAAUAAUUGUGCCUUUUUAUGGCAGAACAAAAGAAAUACCUUUCAUGCUGGGAGGUGGCACACGCCUCUAAUCCCAGCGGCUCUGGAGGCUGAGACAGGAGAAUCACAAGUUCAAAGCCAGCCUCAGCAACUUAGUGAGGCGCUUAGCAACUCAACGAGACUCUGUCUCUAAAUAAAAAAUGGCUGGGUAUGUGGCUCAGUGGUUAAGCAUCCCUGGGUUCAAUCCCUGGUCCAAAAAAAAAAAAAAAAGAAAAAAUAUGUUUAAAAAGCUCUGAUCCCACCAACUAAGCACAACAAGGCAUAGUCAGGAACUUUGUUUUAGAAAGACAGUUACUUCAACUAGACAAAAUGUUUGUUCAACAUCAUUCACUUUGUAAAGUCUGUUUUGUUCAGAUUAAGAGCAUUGAUUUUUGUUUUUGUUUUUUUUCCCCACAUGGUCCUAGCUCCAUUAAACAGAAACCUUAUGUGUAUUCCUUGAAUAAUGCUGGGAUUUUUACUGGAUUAAACAACAACAAAAAAAAAGGUAUAUGUGAAAUAGGGAAGAAUAAAUUUAGCAGUCAGCUUGUAGAUUCAAUGGUCAUUUCUCAGUCAUCUUUCUUACCUUUCUUAUCAGAAGCAGUUGCUGCUCCUUCCUUGCACUAUGGCUUCACUUAAUUUCUAUGGCAUUCUCUUAGCUCUCUGUCUACCUCCUUGGCCCCUCUUCCUUAACAUUUUUUUUCUUCCUAAUGCUUUCUCAUCUCUUUAGCCUCCAGUGACAGAGUACUCAAAGUAGUCCACCUGUUCUGCCUACACUUAUUUCUUAGUGCUUUAUUUUUUUUUCAAAACUUUAAAUACCAUAUAUCCAGGUGUGGUGGCGUACACCUAUAAUCCCAGUGGUUCAGAAGGCUGAGGCAGGAGGAUUAUGAGUUCAGAGCAACUCAGUGAGACCUUGUCUGUAAAUAAAAUACAAAAAAGAGCUGGGAAUAUGGCUCAGUAGUUAAGCACCUCUGGAUUCAAUUCCUGGAAGCAAAAAAAAAAAGGUCUGGGGAUGGUUCUCAGAGGUAGCAUGCCCCUGGUUCAAUCCCCAGUAUCUAGGAGAAAAAUUUAUACACAAAACAUUUUUAUAUUUAAUAUAUAAAAUAUUUAUGUGUAUCAUACAUAUAAUAUACACUUUGUAUAUUAUAUAAUAUAUAUAUUUGUUAACCUGAUAAUUAUUUUUUUAUUUUUUUGUGGAGCUGGGGGAUGUAUCACUGAGCUACUCACCCAGCCCAGGACAUUGUUUUGAUCAUUGCUGUGUUCUCAUAUUCUAGAAUAGUGCCUAGGAUAUUGGAGUUGAAUGAAUAAAUUUAUUUAAUUUUCAAACAAAAAUAUAUUUGGUAUAUAAAGGACCACAUAACAAGGGGAAUAUCUGUGAAUAAGGUAUUAUUCCCGCCCCUAAAUUGCUUAUAACCAAAAAAAAAAAAAAAAAGCUGUUUCUUUAGCAUGAUAAAGUGCUACAUCAUUCUGGAAUUGGGGAGAUUAAGGCUAGUAUAAAGGGGUGUGCUUGUCAUCAGAGAUGAAGUCCUGCUUUGUCAGGCCUAUCAAUCAUUUGUGCUCUUUCUGGGAGGGCAGAAUUGAUGAUAGUUUAGUUCAUUACUGGCUUUUUAGGUUACAAUUCCUGAUUGGUCUUGCCUUGUUAGAGCAGUUAUGACCUUUUGAAGAAUUUCUUAAAAAUCCCAUUAUUAGUCUUAAUUCUUUUUGGGUGCCUUCUAGGUAUCUUCUAAUGUAGCCCCUGCCUCCCAGGAUGAGUGAAAAGAGUUCACCAACUUUACCUUCCGCAUAUCUGAAAGUUCUUUCUGGUAAUCCUGCCCAUCUGCUUACUAACUAUCUGGUCUUAAAGCUCUCUGAACCUGUUUCUGUACCUGUCAAAUGGAGAUAAUGACAAAUGACACCAGUCUUUGUUAUGAAAGUUAAAUGAUGAAUAUAUAAUUUUAAAAAUAGAAUGGAAAGUGGAAGAGGGAUUGUUAUUUUCUUUUUAAGUAAAUACUAUAUAUCUCUGCCCUAUUUUGAAAAAAGUUAUAAUAUAUACUUAAUUGAAUGUAUAUUUUAUAUGUGUAUGUAUAUGUAUCUGCAUAUCUAUAUAUCCUCUCCACUCCCCUGGACUGGGAAUUGAACCUGGGGGUGCACCACCACUGAACUACAUUCUUAGACUUUAUUUUGAGACAGGGUUUCACUAAGUUGCCUAGGCAGGCCUUGAACUUGUGAUCCUCCUGCCUCAGCCUCUCAGGUUGGUGAGAUUACAGGUGUGCACCACUGUAUGCAGCAGAGCUUUUGCUCUUAACUGUUAUGCUAUCUGUCUUUAGUAGGUUGAGGGGAAGAGAUUGAACAAGAACUGCAUCUUGUUGAACUUGAACUGAGUGUAAAGGGUUCUGACAUUAUUAACUUUUAUUUCUGACCAUAAGCAUCUUAUCAUCAUAGCAUGUGCCUUAAUCCUCUGAACUGGUUCUUCCCUCAAUCCAAAGAAAUAUAUGAGCAAUAGGUUAAUUGUAGUCUCCUCUUGUAAGAUUGGGUAUUUCCUGGGCCAGGAAAUGAAGCUAAAUAAAUAUGUGUGUCUCAGUGUUCUUUGGAACAGAAGUGGGAGUUUCUCUGAUCUUUUGUGGUUAUGCUUGUUUCUCCUCUUCUUCUUUUUUAAAAUUUUUUAGAUGUUGGUAGACCUUUAUUUUUAUUCAUUUAUUUUUAUGUGGUAAAAUCGAACCCAGGGCCCCUCACACAUACUAAGUAAGUGCUCUACCAUUGAGCCAUAAUCCCAGCCCCUGUUUCUCUUCUUCUUCUUUUUUUUUUUGAGAGAGAGAGAGAGAGAGAAUUUCAAUAUUUAUUUUUUUUAGUUUUCGGCGGACACAACAUCGUUGUUUGUAUGUGGUGCAGAGGAUCGAACCCGGGCUGCAUGCAUGCCAGGUGAGCACGCUACCGCUUGAGCCACAUCCUCAGCCCCUGUUUCUCUUGUUAAUACAACUGGUAACAAAGAGAAGCAGAGCAGUGUACUGAGAAUUUUCAUGGAUUAUCUCAAUCCUUAAACAUAACCUUAUAAAUAGUCAUUCUUUCCAGAUAUGGUGGCAGUUGCCUAUAAUCCCAGCAACUUUGGAAGCUGAGGCAGAAGAAUCACAAAUUCAAGACCAGCCUGAGUAAUUUAGAGAGACCCUAAGCAAUUUAGCGAGGCCCUGUCUCAAAAUAAGAAAUAAAAGGGCUGAGGAUGUAGCUCAGUGAUAGAGUUCCCCUGGACUUAAUCCCUCGUACCAAAUAAAUACAUCGUCAUUUUUACUCCUGUAUUUUAUAGCGUCAAAGAGAGAUUAGGAAAUUUGCUUAAAGCUACACGGUUAAUAAAUAUAAGAGUUGGGAUUUGAAUAAAGUGGCCUGGCUUCACAGUCCAUGCUUUUAAGCUUUGUGUUCUGCUCUUUCUAGGCGUCUUUGACCUGUGUGAAAUAGGUGGUACAAAUUGAAUAUCCCUUAUCUGAAAUGCUUAGCAUUAGAAGUGUUUCAGGCUUUGGAGUUUUUUGGAUUUUGAAAUAUUUGCAUAGAUUUUUACUAGUUGAGUAUCUCUAAUCUAAAAAUCCAACAUCUAUAUUUUGAAACUCAAAAGGUUGCUCAACCUAUGUAGGCCAUGUGGUUUGAGAGGUAGAAGGGCCAGUUUUGUUUUUCCCAAAAUGGCAAGAUUUUGGUUAGUGACUAGGAAUAAAGAGGCCUUUGAUCUUUCUUGGUUCUGUUACCAACUUGUUAUGUCUAGGAGUUCAGUUUUCUUAGCCUUGUUGUCGUCAUUCAUUAAACAAAGGAAUUCCUCUAUAUGGUCUAUAAGGUCCCUUUAAACUCUCAAGUUCUGGGAUUGAUAAUAGCAAGUAAGAAGAAUGACAUUUUUUAGCUUGGUGUAGUGGUAUUUGUGCAGUCUUAGGAACUCUGCUUUAUGCAAGGAGGAUGCCAGAUUUCAGUGAAGGGUUGUGCCUCCUUCCUGAAGAAGGCAGGUCUGGGCUCUUUUUUGAAAUUGGUUGCCAAAGGAACUUAGCUGGUCAGCAAUAGCCAGAAAUGCUUUGGUUGAGGCUUGGGUACAGAUAACUAAAACAAACAGGUUUCAGUCCUUACCUCCCCUACUCCCCUGCCCCCCAUCAUUCCUUUCCCUUUCCUUUUCAAACUGCUAGUUCUGAACACUUUCAUGUGUAGGGCACUGUUUUAAGUACUUAACAAAGUGUUAUAUCAUUUAAUUUUUAUAGUAAGCUUGUGAGAAUAGGGCCUUUUCUAAAUUUACAGAUAAUGAAAUGGAAGGAAAUAAAUAAUUUGUCCACGUUUACUCAAGUAGAAAAUAGAGUCAAAUCUAUGCUUUUAGCCACUGGGUUAUACUGUCUGAGUAGGUCUAAAAGGAAAAAAAAAAAAAAAAGGUAGAAGGAGAACUUUAGUUUUUUGUUAGUGAGUUUUGUUUGUUUUUGUUUCGUUUUAUUUAGAAAUGAUGGACUCUCAGAGCUGGAAAGGGCCAUUAAAGUAAUUUAAUACAAUCUUGUCUCCAGUCUGCCAACCAAUUACAGGAAUGCUUUCUAUUGUCUCCCUGACAGAUAAUCAUCCAAAUUCCCUUUGAAUAUCUCCAUUGAUGGGGGAGUGCAUCACUUCUUGAAGAUAUUAUAUUGUUGAAUAGCUCUCUUUGGUGGAUAACUGUUUCUUCUUUUGAAUUGAAAUCUAAUUCAGUCUUCUCAUUAAUUUUAGGCCAAUCCCAUGAACCAUAUAGGAUAAAUAUAAUUCAUCUUCCAUAUACCAGUCUUGUGAACUUUUGGAGACAGUCUUCCUAAGGCAUAUUUGCAAUUUUCUUAUAGCAUCUAAACUUGCUUUGAAUUCUGAUUGAUAUGCACAAGAGCAAUCUCUGCCUCUUACUAUUUUGUAAAUUCAACCUAACAUCUUUAUUUCUUGUGAUAACUUAGGCACAAAGUGGGCCUUUCCCACAUCCUUGGAGAAUGAAUAGAUGGUGAGCUAAGCCUUUACAAUUGCAUAUGAUUUUGGAGGAUUUGUAAUCUUCUACUCUUAUAAUUUCUAGAAGUUCAGGCUGCUGCCUUGCACACUGUUAGAAGUCACAAAAUGGCUGUAAGUUUAUCCCAGGUCGAUGAACUGCAUUUACUACAUCAGACCACUAGGUGAUGAACAACUCAAAUCCAGACUGCCAGGGACUGUGGUGUACAAGGAUGGUUUCUGUUUGGAAUUGGAAAGGCCAUCCGAAGUCAUCUGGUCCAACCUUAUUAAAAGGAUUUUUGGGAGUAAAGAGAGGAAAUGUGUUUUUUGUAUACUUUGUUUUUCCUGGGUUUGUUCUAAUUUUAGAUACUGAUUUUGCUAGGUUGUUUCUUUGAUUUUUAUACAAGAGGGGCAUGGACAAUCUUUUUUUUUGAGAGAGAGAGAGAGAGAAUUUUUUUUUUUUUAAUAUUUAUUUUUUUUUUAGUUUUCGGCGGACACAACAUCUUUGUUUGUAUGUGGUGCUGAGGAUCGAACCCGGGCCGCACGCGUGCCAGGCGAGCGCGCUACCACUUGAGCCACAUCCCCAGCUCCUAUGGACAAUCUUUAAAUAUAUAUUUCUUUAAUUUUUAAUUUUUCUUAUUCCAUAUUUUUUAUUGGUGCAUUAUAGUUAUACAUAAUGGUGGGAUUUAUUGUUACAUAUUUGUACAUGCACACAAAAUAAUAAUAUAAUUUGGCCAAUGUCAUUCCCCAGUAUUUUCCUUUUCUCUUUCCUCUUCCGGUCUCUUUACUCCACUGUCUCUCUUCCAUGAACAGUCUUUUUUUUUUAAUUUAUUUUUUAGUUUUCGGCAGACACAACAUCUUUCUUUGUAUGUGGUGCUGAGGAUCGAACCCGGGCCGCAUGCAUGCCAGGUGAGCGCGCUACCGCUUGAGCCACAUCCCCAGCCCCAUGAACAGUCUUUAUAUGUCCAAUUUUUUAAACAUUUAAAUUAAAUUUAUUUUCUGACAUACAAAAACAAAAUUGUACACAUUCAUGGUAUAUCAUGUGAUAUUUAAAUCAAGUUAAACAUAUCUAUUCCCUCAUAUAUUUCUUUCUCUUUUUUUCUUUUUUGGUACUGGAGAUUGAACCCUGGGGUAUUUUACCAAUGAGCUAGAUCCCUGGCCCUUUUUAUAUUUUAUUUUGAAACAGGGUCUCCAAUAAGUGGCUAAGGGCCUCACUGAGUUGCUGAGGCUGGCCUUGAAAUUGCAGUCCUCCUGUGUUAGCCUCCCAAGUCACUGGGAUUACAGGUGUGUGCCACCAUCCCCAGCUCAAACAUUUAUUUCUUUAUGGUAAAAAUAUUCAAAAUUAUUUCUUCUUUCUGUUUGAAGUAUAUAGGACAUUAUUGGUAUCAAUGUCAUCCUUCUGUGCAAGAGCACAGCAGAAGUACUACUUUUUUUUUUUGGUACUGGCAAUUAAACCCAGGGGUGCUUUACCUCUGAUAUGCAUCCCUAUUUUUUUUUUGAGAUAGGGUCUUGCUAAAUUGCCAAGGCUGGCCUCUAUUUUGCAAUUUUCUUGCCUCAGUCUCCUGUGUUGAUGGGAUUAUAGCCGUGCGCCACCACACCCAGCAGCACACUAGAGCUUCUUACUCCUGUCUAACUAUAACUUAGUAGCCGUUGAUCAACCUCUUCCACUCCUUAUUCUUUCUUUCUCUUUCUAUCCUGUGGUAACUAUUGUUCUAUUCUCAACUUACAUAAGAUCAGCUAUUUUUAUUUUCCACAUAUGAGUGAGAUCAUGCAGUACUUGUCUUUCUGUUCCUGGCUUAUUUUACUUAAUAUAAUGAUCAUCAGUUUCAUACAUGAUGCUACAAAUGACAGGAUUUUUUUUUAAAAAGAGCCCAUUCUUGCCAGGCACAGUGGGUCAUGCCUGUUAUCCAGUACCUUGGAAGCUGAGGCAGAAGGAUCACAAGUUCAAAGCAAGCCUUAGCAACUUAGUGAGGCCUUAAGCAACUUAGUGAGACCCUGUCUCAAAAUGAAAAGGGCUGGAUGGGGCUGGGGUUGUAGCUUAGUGGUAGAACACUUGACUUGCGCAUGUGAAGCACUGGGUUCAAUUCUCAGCACCACAUAAAAAUAAAUAAAUAAAAUAAAGGCAUUAUGUCCAUCUACAACUUAAAAAAAAAAAAAAGGCCUGGAGAUGUGGCUCAGUGGUUAAGUGUCCUUGGUACAACCCCUGGUACCAAAAAAAGAAAAAAGAUUUCAUUCUUUUUUAUUCCCGAAUAGUAUUCCUUUAUGCAUAUGUUCUGCAUUUUCUUUAUCCAUUCAUCAGUUGAUGGACACUGAGGUUGUCUCCAUUUCUUAGCAAUAGACCUGGCAGUGCAAUGUCUUCUUUGUUCAAUUCUUUGUAAACUUCAUGCAUGAAUGAUGUCUUGAUUGGGUUUAGGAUUCUCCAUCCUCCCUACUGGGGAUUGAACUCAGGUGUGCUUUACCACUGAGCACCAUCCCCACCCCUUCAUUUAUUUAUCUUUUGAGACAGGGUCUUGCUAAAUUAUCUGGGCUGGCUUUGAAUGGUGAUCUUACCUCAGCCUCCUUAGUAGCUGGGAUUACAGGAGUAUGCCACUCAGCCUAGCUGGGUUCAGGAUUCUUGAAAUACUCGUCUUAGUCUCUAUAAAGACUGUAAGCAGCUUUUCACUAUCUUGAUUUUCUAGUGAUACAGAUGAGAAGUUCAGUGAAUAGGAUUUUUUUUCUUUUGUGAAUAAUAACCCGUUGUCUCUGGAGGUUUCUGAAUUUUUUUGUUCUUGCUUAGAGUUUCACCAUAAUAUGCUGAGGUAUAUUUUUUUGGAGGGUACCAGGGAUUGAACUCAGGGGCACUCGACCACUGAGCCACAACCCCAGCCCUAUUUUGUAUUUUAUUGAGAGACAGGGUCUCACUGAGUUGCUAAGUGCCUCGCUGUUGCUGAGGCUGGUCCUCCUGUCUCAGCCUCCCAAGCCGCUGGGAUUACAGGCAUGUGCCACCGCACCCAGUCAGUAUCUUUUUAAAGUAACCCUGCUGGGCACUUGAUGAGCUUAAAUCUUUCUUAAAGGACAUUGUAUUGCUUUCCUUCUUUCUGUUUCUAGUCUCCUUACUUUAUAGAAGAAGAAACUGAAACCAAACCCAGAAAGAUGAAAUGUCUUGCCUAUAAUCAUAUAGUUAUGAUUGAACCUCAAGAUAACUUGAUUCUUUGAACUAAAAUUUUAUUGUAUUAAUAUUGCUUCAGUGAGUGGGCCAUUUUGAAUAAUUUGGAAAGUUUUUAGUGAAACAGGAAUUUUGGAAAGGGUUCAUGGGGAGGUGAACAAGGAAGAAAAGAUAAUAAAAUUCAUUACAAUUAAAAUAUAGCCACGUCCAGGUGUGGUGGCACACGCCUGUAAUCCCAGUGGCUCCAAAGCUUGAGAUAGGAGGAGCGAGAAUUCAAAGCCAGCCUCAGCAACAGUGAGGUGGUAAGCAACUCAGUGAGACCCUGUUUCUAAAUAAAAUAUAAAUUAGGGCUGGGGAUGUGGCUCAAUGGUUGAGUGCCCCUGAGUUUAUUAUUGGUAACCCCCCCCCCCCAAAAAAAAAAUGUGGCUAGGACUGAAGAUGUAAUUCAGUGGUAGAGCACCUGCUUGGCAUGCAUGAGGCCUUGGGUGUGAUCCCCAUAUUGAAGAAAAAAAAAAAAAAAGGAAAAUCUGCCAUUUUUGAAAGACUAAAAAGUUUAUAAGUCCCUUACUAUCACAAUUAAUGAGCUACCCCAAAGCUCUAAAACUGAAUAAAACGAGAAAGUUGCUUAAGCACUCAGGGAAUUAGAUAUUUAGUAGUCAGUGGAUAAGAGUGGUCAUGCCCUGUUAUAAAUAUUGGAAAACAUAUAAAUGGCAUCUGAAGGCUGGCUUGGAGACAGACAUCAUAAACCAUGUCUUAUCACUGGUCUGGUUUCUGUUUUGAGUUCCAUCCUGAGACCCUUUUCUGAUGGGAACCACCUGUUCCUAGCUCUAUUGAUCUUUGGAUUUCCCCAGCUCUACAGUACCUUUCAGUUUUGAAAUGAAACCUACCUCAGAGGGUGAGGUCAAGUACCAAGAGGACUUUGACAGCUCACACCAGGUUGUUUUAUUUUCCAGGGCUGUCUGGUAUGUGUCUGCGUGAGCUGUGAGGCUCAGCAAACUGUGAUAGAGAGUAAUUGAUGAUGAAUCAGCUAUUGUGUAAGGCCUGGGCAGUGUCAUUUCUUUGGGUGACCAGGAAAACAUGAGGAAGUACGUUGUGUUUUAUCCACAGAAAGUUGAAAGUUAAGAGCACAGUCCACCAGAGAGCUGCCUAUGAUCUCUCUGCCUUUGGUUCACUUAAGAAGGAGAAGCUUUAUCUCAGCUGCUUCUUUCUUCAUUUGUAGAAUCUACUCACCUCCUUUUUAUUCAAGCCUCUAGCCUCCUCUUGCUGCUCCAUCUAUAGUAAUCCUUUAUAGUGUGCUUCCUAGAAUUGCUGCUUUGUGAAGUGACUCCUUUAGAUACCCUUCCUUCCAACUUGGCUCUUCACAAAAUACAGCUUGUCUUGCUCCCUUUGCUGUAAACCUGGUUUCCACCAGAUUACAGCACUUCACUUGGAAUCUUUACAAAUAGAACUAGCUCACCCUUUAAUUCACCCUUAAAUGACUUUGCCUGAUUGUCCUCAUCCCCAUUUCCCAGCACUUGGGAGCUGCUUUUAGACCUUCAAAUAUCUUUUCCCCGUUGAGAUUUCUACCUGAUCCUUGUGAUCCUUGUUCUUUCUUUCUUUUUUUUUUUUUUUUUUGUACCAAGGAUUGAAGCCAAGGGUGCUUAAACACUGAGCCACAUCCCCAUCCUUUUACAUAUUUUAUUUAGAGACAGGCAGGGUCUCUCUGAGUUGCUUAAGGCCUUGCUAAGUUGCUGAGGUUGGCUUUGACCUCCCUUUCUAGGCCUGUGGCCCUACUUGGGGGUUCGGUGGCUAGGACUGACCUGGGGCCAAGGAUUCAGAAUAGAGUGUGGAAUUAGGGGGAUUGGUGUUAGCAUUUUCAGAUUUGGGCAGAUAGGAAGCCGGAAGAUGUGAACAUGAAGACUAGUGGAGUGUGGGAGGGACAAACAGAAGAUAUCUUUUAUAGGCUUCCUCUUUUGCCCAUUCUGUUUUGGAAAAAAAAAAAUUUUUUUUUUUUUAACUUAGAGAAAAAAGGGUGAUUACUAAAAAACAAAAAAUCCCCAAAAGGGUAAUUGCUGUUUGGGGUUUGGGGUAUGGCUCGGUGGUAAAAGGAGUGCUUGCCUAGCGCUCAAGUCUCAUUGCAUAUCUGCAAUCCCAGUUGCUCAGGAAGCUGAAGCAGGAGGAUCACAUAUUUGAGGCUAGCCUCUCCAAUUUAGCAAAGCCCUAAGCAAGUUAGUGAGACCCUGUCUCAAAAAACAGGAAAAAAGUGGGGGCUGGGGCUGCGGAUAUAGCUCAGUGGGAAAACACCUCUGGGUUCAAAGAAACAAACAAAAAGGCCCUGGAUUUGAUCCCCAGCACUACAAAAAACAAACAAACAAACAAACAAAAAAACCACCAGAAACAUACAUACACACACACACACACACACAAAGUAUAAUUUAGAAAGAAUAUGGCAAGUUAUCUUUUUAAAAAGUCAAAAUAUUGUAAACAUAUAUAUAUAUGUUUUUUGUUUAUUUGUUUUGGCACUAGGGAUUUAACCCAGGGACCCUUUACCACUAAGCUAUAUCUCCAGUCCUUUUUAUUUUUUAUUUUGAGACAGGGUCUCCUAAAUUGUUGAGGUUGACUUUGAAUUUGGGAUCCUCCUUCCUCAGCCUACUGGAGUUGCUAGGAUUACAGGCAUGUACCAUUGUGCCCAGCUGUAGAAAAUAUUUUGACUACUCCCCCCAUCUCAAUUAUUUUUAUAGUCCUUAGUGGUAACACACUGGUGUUUUAGAAUGAAACUUUCAGACUACUUUUUUCCCAUGAGUUUAUAUCCAUUUGUAUGAAGUGCAUUUUGGUGAUUUAUUUACACAAAUAUUAUUACAUUUUAUGUGUCAUUCUGGUAUUUCCUUUGUUUUUUUUUUAAAUUUUUUUUAGUUGUAGAUGGAUAUAAUAUCUAUUUUUGUGUGGUGCUAAGGAUCUAACCCAGUGCCUCACAGCGCAAGGCAACUGCUCUACCACUGAGCUGCAGCCCCAGCCCCUCCUUUUUUGUUUUAAGAAUGUGCCUUGCCAGUAUUCCAUAUUAGUACAUAAAGAUACAUUUCGUUCUUUUUAAAAAAAUAUUUAUUUUUUUAGUUGUAGUUGGACACAAUACCUUUAUUUUAUUUAUUUUUAUGUGGUGCUGAGGAUUGAACCAUGUACUAUGCGAGCACUCUACUGCUGAGCCACAACCCCAGCCCCACAUCUCAUUCUUUUUGGCUUCUGUGUAGUGUUCCAUAGACUGGCUAAUAACUUUUUUUUUUUUUUUUUUUUUGUACCCAGGGAUUGAACCCAUGGGUAGUUAGCCACUGAGCCACAUUCCUAGCACUUUUUAUUUUUUUUUAUUUUGAAAUAGGACCUUGCCAAGUUGUUGAGGCUGGCUUUGAACUUACAAACUUUCUGCCUCAGCCUUCUAAACUGCUGGGAUUACAGACAUGCACCACCACACCUGGCAAUAUUUAACUCUUCUAUUGAGGGAGAUAAGAUAUUUCUAGUUUUUUAAUAUAAUAAAUGAUUCUUGUUUUAAAUGUUGGCAUUCUGCUGUUAGGCCUUUUCCACCGCCCUGUGCUUUUCCUCGUACUUACUCUGGGUGAUCUCAGCCUCUUUGACAGUUUGUUACCAUCUACAUGUGGAUGAUUCCCAAAUCUCCAGCCCAGAUCUUUCUCCAGACCAGAAUAUCCAACGGCUUAAUGGAAAACUCCACUGGAAUGUCUUUUAUUCAUGACAAAACACAGUCUCCUGCUUUGUCCCACUUGUUGUUUCUCCAAUGCCCUAUCAUAUACAUUGUAAUUUAGCAUGUAAUGACUGAAGCCCAAAACCUAGUAGGGAUGGAUAGUUCUUCCUUCUUUCCCACAUCUGAUGACCAGUUAGUCACUAGGACUUGUCUUCCUUCCAUCCUCAGAUUUUUAUUUUCUUUUUUUCCUAAGCACUAGGAAUUGAAUCCAGGGCCCAUUAUUGCUGAGCUACAUCCCCAGCUUUUUUUUUUUUUUUGAUAUAGAGCCUUGCUAAGUUGCCCAGGCUGGUCUCAAACUUGAAAUGCUCCUGCCUCAGACUCCUGAGUUGCCGGGAUUAUAGGCAUGUACCACCAUACCCAGCUCUUCAAUGUUUCUUUUUUUUUUUUUUAAUUUAUUUUUUAUUAGUGCAUUGUAAUUAUACAUGAUAGUGGGAUUCAUUAUGCCAUGUUUGUAUAUGUAUAUAACAUAAUUUUCUUAGGCUUCUUCCUUUUCCCUUCCUUGAUAUUUCUUGAAUCUAGUCAUUUUCAUUUUUCAUUGCUACUACCCUAUACCUGGGUUUCCUAAUUUAAAAAACCAUAUUGUGAGCAUUUAAAUGAAAAAGAAAUCUAUCUAUCAUUCUACUUACUUGAAUAUCUAUCUAUCUCUAUAUAUCCCUACCUCCAUUCCAUUCUCCACACUGUAAUAAUCUUUAUAAAAUAUAAGGAUGAUUAUGGAGUUAUUCCUCUGCCUAAAAAUAGUUCAGUGAUAUAUCUGUUAGGCUUUUGUUCAUGUUAUCUCCACCUAGAAUCCUUUCCUAUUUGAUUUUUGAAAGGCUGGCUUCCUUUUAUUGAGAUACCGGCUUUUAAGAUAGAUGCUGAUGGCAUAUGCUUGUAAUCUCAGUGAUUUAGGAGGUUGAGGCAGGAGGAUCACAAGUUCAAGGUCAGUCUCAGCAGUUUAGUGAGACUCUCAGCAUCUUGGACUCUGUAUUUCAAAAUAAAAGGGACUAGAAUGCUCAGUGGAAAAUUGUCCCUGGGUUCAAUCCCGUACCCCAUAGCCCUACCAAAAAAAGAAAGAGAGAGAUAUACAAGCUUUUAAAUGUCAUCUCUUCUGAGAGGCAUUCCUCAGACUGAUUAAUAAUUUUAAAAGUAGUCACCAGAUAUUUUCUAUUCCAUUAUCUUAUUCUUUGAGUAAUACUUAGUACUAUCUGAUAUUUUUCUGAUUUAUUUGCAUAUUUGUUUAUAGUAUUCUUUAAUUAGAAUUUGGCCCUUUUUAUUGUCAUUCUACUUACUUGAUCACCUUUGGUAAUUCCAGUGUUUGCCAGGAUGAAUUUCUAACAUGCUUGACUUGAAUCAUCUAAUGUGCUUGUGUUUAGUUUCCAAAUCAUGUUCAUGAAACUAGAGUAAACCUGACAGGGGACUUGCCCAUGAAAGGGACAUGUAUGCUUAGGAUGAAAUGGAGAACCAGUGUAGGAAGAUUGUUAACUCAGGUAGGAAGAUUGGCUGAAGACAGAAUAACUGAGAGUGGAACAAAAUUGUAAGCAAGGUGAGAAGCAAAAGGCCUGAGGGAUAAGGCGAGGCAAAGAUGAAACAGGAAGCUGAACCAUUAGGUCAGAAACCUAGAGAAUCAGGAUAGUGUAAGCAGGGACAGGGCCAGCAGUUCAGGAUUAGGGUCAUAAAUCAACUUGGGGACUACUUAAAUCAUCUUUUAGUAGUCUUACCUUUUUCAUCUAGAAACAGCUUUUGAAUUAUCAGGUCAUUGACCUACAAGUGUUUGAGUGAGAUUGCAUAUUCUUUUCUUUGUAUUUUAUUUGCUAUUUAUUUUAAAAUCAAAGUCUACCUUACCUAUCCUCCCUCAGAUUCUGCUACCAGAUUCUGUUACCAGAUUCUGUUUUGUAUUCCUUUAAAUAUAUCAGGUUCAACUAUCUCUGAAAUAAGUUUCUUAUAUGAAAGCCUGAAGCAGUCCUGGAGUUCCAUUCAGGUAGGAUGAAAGGAGGGAGCACUCCUCAGACCAUCUCUUCCCACUGAACCAGGCAUAGGAGCUCAGCAGCCUCAGGAAUUCAAGACUCUGUUGAGACUGAAUCUGGAAUUUUGGGAGGGUCAUAAGAGUUUAGACUAUAGGAAGGAAUUCUAUCAAUGAAGCAUAGUCAGAAUUAGUAGAAGACUGAGUAGAUAUGUGUAGAUGGCAGGAUCUAAGGGUGUGGAGUAGAUUUCAAGAUUUCUGAUCUGGAAUGGUCCUCAAAUUAGGCAAUGUUAGGGGCUCUGAUAUACCAAGUAGAGAGUCAUUAGUAGUACUAGUCCUUAGCCCUUAGAUGUUUUUUGUAUUUUACUGUGUAGCCUAGAGCUCUUCUAUAUGCUGAGAAGGAGUCAUGAGAGUAGAAACAGUACUAACUGAGAGCAGAAGUAGUUUCUCUCUCUCUCUCUUUUUUUUUUUUUUGGUACCAGAGAUUGAACCCAGGGGUGUUUAACCACUGAAUCACAUCCGCGGCUCUUUUUAUUUUGAGACAGGGUCUUGUAAGUUGCUUAGGCUGGCCUUGAACUUGUGAUCUUCCUGCCUCAGUCUCUGUAGUCACUGGAAUUACAGGCAUACACCACUACACUCAACGAACAGUUUCUCUUUUGAAGGUUAGAUGGAGUGGUUGUGUGUGCAGAGUGGAUAGUCUAUAGCCAGUCAUCUGGCCUGUGUAAGGCAAGACAUCUACACUCCCCUUCUAGGGCUCUGUUGGGAAAAUUAGGCUAAGAGUCAGCAAUUGUGACCAUUGUUCAUGAUUUCCCCAUGUAUUCCUGGUCUUUGCUUAUCCCGCUGCUCUAAGCUCCAGGCUCUGAUGUUCUGCCUUCUCUUUUAUGGUUUAAGGCCUUCAAAUUGCAUAUUCAUUCUGAAUUCUCCUUCUAGAUUAUUCACUCCAUACCCAGCUUGGCUUUGCCCCUAUAUCAUCCCCUAAUUUUGACAUUGCUAUCCAGGUUUAAGUAAGGGCCUUCCUCCAUUAACCCUGUUUCUAGAGCUAUUAUUUUUAAACUUUAAUGUGUAGAAAUUACCCAUGGAGUCAAGUGGGAGCCUGGAUACUUGUUUAAAACAGACUCCUGUUCUCUUCCUAGAUAUUCUGAUUCAUUAGAUGUGAAAUGGUGACCAGGAAUCUAGUUUGAUCAUCUUCCAGGCUGAUUCUGACCCUUGACAGAGGUCCCUGUCAGCUCCUCAUCCCUAAAAGAGCAGGAAGAGAAUUUGAAUCCUUUAUUUGGGUUUUAAGAUCCUAGAACCAUAGUCUUGUUGCCUGUCAUGCAAUGAUGACAGUGUCUUAUAUUCUGUCCCUCCAUCUCCUAUGAGAGUGCCAGAACAUGAGACACCGUAGGAACAGAGCCCAGGUGAGGUGGAAGACCUUAAUAUCUCUCCAAUUGCAGAUCAGUAUCUUUGGGGUUUAUAGAGAACUUUGGCACUGGACUUAGAGAAAGUAGGUUAAUGUAGACCCUGAGGCUGCCAGUCACACUUCAGAUUUGCCUCUGGAGUUCUUCUCAUUUUUAUUUACAUUGACUGUGCUCUGACAUUGGUUUUCCUUAUCUAACCUUGAAGCUGCCCUCACUCUCCAUUGUGGCCAUCUUCUAUACUGCUUCCAUCCAUCUUUCUAUGGACAACUUGAUGUUAUCUUUCUCCUUUAAAAUCUUCUGUUACAUCCCUAUUACCUAUAUACUCAAGUCCAAAUGUAUCAGGUUGGAAUAAACAAUCAUGAACAAUUUGGCCCAAAUUGUCUAAAGAUCUGCAAUAUCUUAUGUUUCUCCAAUCUCAUUCCAGGCUACUCUCCUCCUUCCUUACUCCUACCUUCACUUGCUUACAGUGGCUUGAUCAUUUUUCCAGCUAUUUCUGGCCUCAGGGCCUUUGCAAUACCAUAUGGCCUCUGCCUGGAAUACUUUUUACCUUGUACUUUAUCUCAUUAACUAUCCUUUGACUUACCAUGUCAACUAAUAUUAGUAUUUGUAUAAAAAAGAGGGCAACUUUGUAUAUCUGUAUAAUCUCCUCUUAGAGAUCUUUUUUGGCCACUGUAUAUCAAGAAACUAUCUUAGUCUUCCAUUGGCUUUAGUCAGAUCACUUAAUGCUAUUUACCUGUUUGUCUUUCUCUCCUUUUAGAUUAUAAGCUCCAUGAGGGCAGGGGUCUUCUUGUUCAUGAUUGUAUUUUCAGUACCUUUUGCAUAAAGCCACUCAAUAAGUCCUUGUUGACUAAUCCAUAUUUUUGUUUUCUUUUUAGUAUCUGUUUUGCUGCAUUGUGGCUCUGCACAGCUCUUGCCCUUUGCAUAAGCUGUUGCCUGUCCCAGAAACACCCUUUCUCUUAUUAACUUGUCAGAUUGCUUCUUGUCCUCUACUGUUUCUUUAAGCAUUUUUUUGACCUUCCCAGGUUGUGCUGGUUCAACAGAGACAGUGUUUUGUUCCUCUUGAAUAGGUUUUCUCACCCUGUGUUGUGAUUUUGCCUAUGUGAAAGAUAGGUGGUAUUGCCAGUUUUAUAGGUGACCAACUGGAGGCUCUGAGAGAUUAAUUAACUUGAAAAUAGGAAAUCUGAUAAUUUGAACCCUGAGAAGCCCUGUUCUACUUCACUAUGCUCCCUCCAAAAAAAAAAAAAAAAAUCAGCAGAUAUAGAAACACUGAAGUCAAAGGGGUGCUUAUUAUUAUUAUUAGUUAGGAAAACUACUGUGUAUGCUCUUUAAAGUAUCCUGAGAGUUAAACACAGUAAAAUAAGUAAUAUUGAUAAGCCAUUAGUAGGGAUAAUAGAGAAAAAGGGUGACUGUAGUGUUCAAAGGAUGAUGUAUAUUUCAUGUAUUUUCUUGGUCAUAUCCUUGGUGACUUUUUUUUUUUUUUUGGCUACUGGGAUUGAAUCCAGGGUUGCUUUACCAUGGAGCUACCACCCCAGCCCUUUUUAUUUUUUAUUUUGAGACAGGGUCUUGCUAAGUUGCUGUGGCUGGCCUUGAACUUGUGGUCCUCCUUCCUCA
RNAcentral lists this long non-coding RNA (23992 nucleotides) under Marmota monax (woodchuck). The stretch from base 6734 to 6802 matches the Rfam family "tRNA". Lineage: Eukaryota; Metazoa; Chordata; Mammalia; Rodentia; Sciuridae. The record is from RNAcentral.